CGGAAGCUUUUCAAAAGUUCUUUUCUGGGUCACAGAACUUUGCCUUCUUAGCGUGAUGAUUCUCCUUCAUGCCCUCACUAAAUCCGGCUCGAAUGGAUUGAGUGGAAAAAGGAGAGGAUGAGGAAGAAGUUGCGUGUGAUCUCG
Caenorhabditis elegans is the source of this 144-nucleotide non-coding RNA. The record is from Ensembl. NCBI's taxonomy places the organism in Eukaryota, Metazoa, Nematoda, Chromadorea, Rhabditida, Rhabditidae.